RNAcentral lists this ribosomal RNA (403 nucleotides) under Pheretima sp. Mindoro2. RNAcentral's name for it is "partial 12S rRNA". The record is from RNAcentral. Lineage: Eukaryota; Metazoa; Annelida; Clitellata; Crassiclitellata; Megascolecidae.
UAGAUACCCGUCUAUUCACGACAUAAAAUAAAGUUGGAUAUUACGAACCACAGUUUAAAAUUCAAAGAUUUUGGCGGUGUCUUAUAAAACCAGGGGAACCUGUCUCAUAACUCGAUAAUCCACGCAUACUCAACCUUCUCUUGAACCCAGCAUGUGUACUGCCGUUGUAAGCACACCUCUAAAAGAAUGAGUGUGCCACUAUGACCUCAUAUACAUCAGGUCAAAGUGCAGCCAAUAAGAAGGUGAUGAUGGGUUACAACCCCAAAAUAGACUAUCAACCAAGAAAUUAAAAAUCUUACGAAAGUGGACUUGGCCGUAAUUAACUUAAAGUUAAAAAAAUGAAUAAAAAUCUAAGACAUGCACACAUCGCCCGUCACUCUACCCUAAAGGGUAGAUAAGUCGU